AGAUUUCCCAACUGCACGUAUCAAAAACAAGACUGUAGCAAGAGAGGGCUCCUGGUCGCAGUCAUUGUCCAAGUGCGGAUCCAGGUCUCCUCCACGGCCAAGGGAAGGAGUCCAAGCUGCCAGAGCAGCAGAGCCAUGGCCCCUUGGGUUCCGAGUUCAGCGUUUUGGCAGCUGAGCCUCCUGCUGCUGGGCUCCCCCUGCCAUCCCCGGGCGAGAAUGUGUUCAAAGGGCAAGACUGGGCUUCGCUUCUCCUGGUGAGCUGGCAAAUCGCCUAGAAACAGCAGACCCUAGAUUAUGGGGGGACAAUAGAUAUUCAGGAAAUCAUGUUUCCAUCUCUUUCCUUCUUUGGCUUCAACUAGUAAUGAAUCCCUCCACCAGGGGGUGGACAGAAGCCAUCAGAGAAACCAGCGCUCCCCAAUGGCAUGUAGUCCCAGUUACAGAUUUGACAUUGUUUUAGGCCCUGGGCAUCCACCGAUACAAUAAGUACUGCAUCCAUGUCCUUCUGUCUUAUGUUUGAAGAUCAAGUGCAGCAUGUGUCAAACUGACUUGGAUUUGAGCAAGUAAAUGCAGCACAGAAUUCAUGCCUGUCAACAGAGCAAGAUGAAUUGCAUUAGCUGCAAUCAACUGCAGAGUGACUUCAUCCCGUGCCUCCCAUGUGACUAGGUCAAGGGAGAACUUCAAAGUGUCUAACUACAUGGGUAAGAGAACCUUCUUUUUAAACAGGCUCUCACCCACGUGAUGGAAGCCAGUAGCAGACAGACAGGGUGUGUUUGCAUGUGUGCUCGCAUUCAUGUGUGUGUGCGCACAGUCACUGGGCAGUCGGUGAUCCCCAGCCCAUCUGGUGGCUGCACACAGGGGCACAGCAUCUUGCACGUCCCACAGACCAGAUUCAAGACACUCAGACACCCACACACCCAAAGUGCCAGGAGAAAGUUUGCAUCACUUUUCAAGGUUUAAUUCCAUGUUAAAAAGUUUCAUCUGCAAUUAAAAAAAACCUCUUAUUUAAUUGCAUUUUUUCAUAAUCACUCGUUUUUGCUAUCCACACCCAUGCAACCCUAACUUUCAGUCUUUUACUUUUUUCUUUUUGGUACUGAGGAUUGAACACAGAGGCACUGAAAUACAUCCCAGUCCUUUUUAGGGUUUUUGUUUUGCUUUUUGAGACAGAGUCUCUCUAAGUUGCUGAGGGUCUUGCUAAAUUGCCGAGACUGACCUCAAACCUCGUGAUCCUCCUGCCUCAGCCUCCCCGGUUGCUGGGAUUACAGGUGUGUGCAGUGCUCCCAGCAACUUUCAACCUCUUUAGGGGACCCAUUCCAUCCCAGUGUGGCGUAGUGGAGCUUUCUGUGGUGGCAAAAGGUGGUAGAAAUGUCCUGUCCCUGUGCUGGCACUUGGACGCGCCUACCAUGACUUGGUUUAGUUAACUUGUAAACAACAACGCCAGCUGAGCUUUGGCAUUCCUUAUGUCACCAGCCCGGUCUGACUUUAGCAUCUAGCAAACAUUCAGAACUGGCAGGACCAUUUUCUUCCUUCCUGAGAAGAGUGCUGGCUGUCUUUAUGGUCACUAAGAUCUUUGAAAACAGUCCCAAGGUGCCAUUUUGCUGUUUUCCCAGGUUUAGGAAAAGCAGCACAGGCUGUCCCUGUGCAAGGCAGUGGCUGUGCUCAGAUCCCCUCCAUCACAGGGCGGCCAUGUGUACCUGAUACCCCAGGGGCAGCCUCAACCUGCUACACCAACGAGGUCUUUUUCAUUCUCCAAGUGGCAUGGCCUAUAAUUUUUUAUACAAUAAUAAAAAUUUUUAAUCUACUUUUUGCCUAGCCAAGAGCAACACGGGGUAUUAGGAAAUUCCAUCAGUAAUCCAAACAACUUCUUGGCAGCAGCAAUCAUGUCUUUUAUCUGUUUCCUUAGUUCUUAGCAUAAAUUUUAAUAAGUGCUUCUCAGAUGGGUGAAUUAGUAUGAGCCUGGAUGAAUUAGCGUGGCUCAGGAGUGAUGCUAAUAACAUCACACUGGAGACACGGCUCCUUCAAGUUUCUAGCCCCCUCGCAGGUGCCUUUAGGGGCAGAGACGUACGGAAAUACAUUUCCGUGUAAGGCAUGGUGCCUUCAUCUUACACAACAGCUAAUGCAAAAAGACUGCAAACUCAUCCAAGACGAGUUUGCUAUUCCACAAAAUAAAUGGUGCCCUAUGUUUAUAAAGUGUAUGGGUUCAAAGAAAAGCUCCAUUUUCCACAAAACGUUAACUUCUGUUACAUUUUCCCACUGCAAUGGACACCAUCCUUUCCUGCCAUUCCUUCUCAUCUUGUCCUGCUUCUUAUCACCACCCUGGUGGACACACAGCAUGAUCAACCCCUCCCUUCCAUUAUUGCUGCCUGGUCUGACCAUUAUUACAGCCAAGACCCCCAAUUUCUAAGGAUGUUUGACCGGAUACCCCCAACUCUUCCUAGUUUCUGUCUGCUUUCUUCAUUGUUCAUCUCAAAACAAUCCAUCGGUGAUUUCACCUGAUCACCCCAUGCCUACCCAAGCCUUCUUUAAGUUGUACCUAAUUACUAGAAUGCCCUAUCGUCUCAGGUUCUCUAGCUUUGCCUCUCUCUUAGUAUCAAAAACACUUGAACCCCCAGUUCAUGUACAGAAACUUUCUCUAACAACAAAACCAACGUGUUGUAGAAGAAAGAACCUAAGAGAUCUAGGAGGUGUGAUAACAGGUUUUAAAGUCCACUCUUGCCACUAAGUGGUUGUGUGAUCUUGGACAAUUUAUUCAACCUCUUUGGGGUUCAGUUAUUGUCCCUGUAAGAUGAGAAGGGAGGGUAAUUCAAAUAAUCUCUCCAUACUCUAAAAUCUGUGCAAUUAAGGAAUAGUGUUUAUUCCUUACCAUCCUGUCAAAAAAAAUUGUGAUAGUGUUGUGCUCUCUGAUUAUCAGAUAAUGCUUGGAAAUAGCUUUACACUUAAUUUAUGAAAAAUAUUAUGUGUAUGGCUAUGAUCAGCGUACUAUUAACAUGAAUGGGUAAGUCUUUAAUAUGUGAAUGUAAGAAAACAUUUACAGUAGGGAUUUGCUUCUAUUCAUGGCAGUGUGGUCAAUUUAGACCAACCCUCCUUGGAGAAACGAAAUUUAAAACAUAUUUUUUGUUUGAAUAUGUUGAUUUGCAAACAGGUUAGUGAAUAAUUAUAUUGCCAAGAUCUGGGAGAAGAAAGAAUUAUACAAACGUGAGCAUUUGGGCCUACUUUUUCCCAUUAGGACUGUUUCAGAAGAGGUAGAUGUUAAGAUGAUAAGCUGAGCAGAGAUUUUAACAAACUCGGGAAAUUAGAGAACAAAACUUUGAGUUAGGAUCUGACACAGCAGUUAGCAAGUAAGACUUUAGAUCAGAACCCUGAGAGGCUACACAACAGGAGUAAGUGUGAACAUAAAAAGAUCAUCCCUCAAAGACAUUGUGGUGCAACUGUAGGAUUAAGGUAAUUGAGAUUGUCAGUGUCCUUAGACAUCUAUCAAGAGCAAAUUUAUAUUGCUCAUUAGAGGACUAUGACAUCAUCUUAGGUCUUAAAUUCUCCCUACACUUUUUCAUAUACAAUGUGAAAAACUCAGCCAAAUAUAAUCAUGUACAUGAGGAGUCCAGACAAUGUGAUUGAAUGUCAUGAUAAAUAGGAAACAAUAGAAAUCAACAUGGCCAAUCCUGAUAUUGGCAUUCUUUUUUGGGCUGGGGGCACUGAGGUUGAACUCAGGGGUGCCUAACCACUGAACAACAUCCCCACCCUUUUUCAUUUUUUAUUGUAAGACAGGGUUUCGAUAGGCUAAGAUUGUUGUCUUUGAACUUUCGAUCCUCCUGCUUCAGCCUCCUGAGUCGCCGGGAUGACAAGUGUGCACCACCAUGCCUGCUGAUAUUGGCAUUCUUAUACAAGCUUUAAAAUAACACUGACAACUAUAUUUGCAGAAAUAAUGGUGAGACUGGUAAGUUAAGCAGAGAAUUGAAAACUCUAUAAAAGAACACAAAUAGGAAUUACAUAACUAAAACAGGCAACUUCAAAUUAAGAACUCAGUGGAUAAGAUUUAGAGCAAAAUAGAUACAGCUGAAAAGAGAACUAGAGAAGUGAAAGAAAAGACCGAAGAAAAUGUUCAGGUUGAUACAGGGAAAACUAAAGUUUAGAACAUACUGAAAAGAGAGAAAAGAUAGAAAAUGGAGUAGAAAAACAUAAAGUGUGUUUGGAGUCCUGGUAGGAAAGGAGGGAGAAAAUGAGACAAGAAAUAUUUGAAGAGACAAUGGCUGAGAGUUUUUCAAAACUGAUGAAAGACAAAGUCAUAGAUUCAAGAAUGAUUAUAAACAUCCAAUCAGAUAAAUACAAAAAAACAAAAGUUAUAGUUAAAUUCUACUAAAAGACAAAGACAAUAAGAAAAAUCUUUGAAGAAACCAAAGGAGAUAGCAGAUUCCCCGCCCCCUCAAACCAAAACUGACAGGUAACUUUACAGAAAUAAUACACCAAAGAAUAAUAUCUUUGAAGUUUUUAAUUCUACCUCCCAAAAAAUAACCCUCAAAAAAAUGACAAGGAAAUCAACAACUGAGAGAAUCCUCACAAGCAGAACUGAAAUAAAGGAGCUAUCCUUUAGGUAAAAGGAAAACUUUUACAGUUACUUAAAAAUGAAGAUGAAAAUAAAGAGCACAGAAAUGAGUUAAAUAAAUGAUUAAAUCCAAAUGAACAUUGUUCUUUAUAAUAUAGCAUUAACACUAUAUUCUGGGAUGUAAAAACAUAGAAAGUUUGUUUUUAAACUUCAACAAUAAUCAGGAGGGGUGUAGUUGGAAUAUUCUAAAGUCCCUUGCAUUUAGAAGCAAAAGUGUUAAUGAUAUUAGCUUUUGAUAAUUUAGCAAUGCAUGAUAUAAUCUCCACUGCUAAAAAAAAUAAUAAAAAAUUGGGAACUGCCAAGUUCAUGGGAGAAAAUGGUUUUAAAACAAUGAGUCAAUUCAAAAAAAGACAAAAAGAAAACCGGAAAAAGAAUAAGGGGUUGGGAAGUACCUAGAACAGGCAAGAUCAGCACAAACCUAAUUGGCAGAUUGUAGAUUUACGCCCAAAUAUAUGAAGAGAUUUAGUAAUUGUAAAGCAACUAAGUAUCUUCAUUAAAAUGAUAAUAGCUGGGCUUAUUUUUUUUAAAAAAAAGACUUCUAAUAUUUUGGAAAAUAUGCAUUUGAAUUAUGAGAAUACAGAAAGAUGGAAUGCAUAAUACUAUGCAAAAACUAACCAAAAGAAAACUAGUGGGAAAGAACAUUAGGCAAGAGGUCUUCCUAAAGACAUCGAGAGAAACUAUACAACAUAACUAUACAACGUUUACUUCAUCAAUUAAGAAUUCUAAAUUUACAACAAAUGACAGAGCUUCCUCAAUAAUUGACAGAAAAGACACUUUUAAAUUAGUAAAACUAUUGAGGAUUUGAAUAAGACACUUAUUAAUUAACAGGCCAGAUCAAACUGAACUACAUAACAAGGCACUGUUAUCCAAUGUGCAGAGACAUACAAAUUUUAAGGACAGGAAUAUUUAUAAGAAGGUGAUCAUACUCUGUACCAUAAAGCAAGGCUCAACAAAUUUCACCAAUGUUAAGAUCAUACAGCUCUGUAAUAGAACUAAGCUAGAAAUUAAUAACAAAAAAAAAUUACUAGAAAUAAUUCAAAUAUAUUUUAAAAUAAAUCGUGUGCCAAAGGAUAAAUCCUAAUGGAAGUUAGAAAAUAUUGUUAACUGAAAGAGAAUUAAAAUAUAAUAGUUCAGUGGAAAAAAUAAAGUCUUUUCAAUAAUUGAUGCACGGUGAACUGGGUAUCCAUGUAGAAAACUAAAAUAAAAAUUGAUCUCCACCUUCAUACAAUGCAAAAAGUUGACUCCAGCAGAGUGUAGAUGUAAAUGUGAAGGGUAAAGUUAUAAGGCUUCUGGGAGAAGAUUUAGAAGAAUAUCUUUAAGAGCAUAGAAAAGGGAGAGAUUUCUUGCAUAAGACACUAAAGUCCUUCAGCAUAAAAGUCAAGUCCUGUACGCUGGUGUUUCUCAACAUUUGGAACUGUUUGUUAUCAGAAAAGAGCAUUAAGAAAGUGAACAGGCAAGCCUUGGACGGAAGCACAUUUAUAACAUCUGUAACUCAUGGAAGGUGAGUCAGAAGGCCCUGUAGACGGCAUGGACAACGCAUCUGAACGGAACCAUGGAAGACAGCAUCGACGUGGACCUUGGCCACGUGAGAAGGUACCCAGUCUCAUAACCAUAGGGAAUGGGGCUAAAACCAUGAUGCGUGACUAUCACAUAUACACACGCGCACCCCCAUACCAGGAGGGCUUCAAUCACACAGACCGAUCACUUGUUGAUAUCUGAAGCUAUAAUACCAGCACAUUUUGGAAAAGUUUAGCAUUAUCUACUAAAGCUGAGCAUUGGUCUGCCUAAAGACCUAGCACGUCUCCCAACAGAAAUGUGUGCCCACAUGUGUCACAGGAGACAUAAAGGACUAUUCAGAAGAGUACAACAUGUAAGAACCCUAGAUUGGAAAGAGCCCAAAUAUCCAUCAGCAAUAGAACAGAACAAUAAAUUGGCAUGUUCUUCCCGUGGAGUCCCAUUCAGCUCCCCUAAGGAACUAACUCUGCUCCCUACAAUGACAUGGUGAUUCUCAUGAAAAUAAUAAUGAACAAAAGAAGUUGAAAAUAAAAUUAAAUAUUCUAUAUGCUUCCAUUUAUAUAAUGUUCAAAACAGUAAACCAAAUACCUGGUUGUGAUAAAAGGGAAAAUAGUGUCUAUCUUUGAGGAGGUAGAAGAACAGAGUGGUCAGGAGGGGCUCCAGACAGGGGUGUCUGGUCAUUUUUAAGUUCUUGACCCAGGUGAUAUGUGGGUUUAUUCUCUCCAAGUAACUCAUUUCAUUGGGUAUUACACUUUUUAAAAAAGACUUAAAAACAUUAUUCAAACCAUGAUUUAACAUGUAUUGAACUCUGGUAGUAAAUGCUAGACUUGAAAAGGUAAAGUCAGAGAUGGUGUCUGGCUUCCGGGAAUCCAGAUUCUGGCUAUCAACCAGGACUUAGAGGGGAAACAGCUUUGGUUUAAUGCUAAAUGUCCUUUGAGAAUCGAUAUGCAGAAUAAGAGUAUUUACCAGUCCCCAUAGAAGGCGGAUUGGUUUCUCUUGAGGUGUUGACAUGUGAACAGGUCUUAAAGUACAGUUGCCCUUUUCACAAAUGAAGAACAUGGAGAGAGAUGUUUUAGGUCAAAUGCACACAAAUGUGAGUAAAGUUUAACAGAGCAGGCUUGUCCACUUAGCCGCUAAAUAGAUAAUGAGAAAGCUCAGUACUUAAUAAAUUUUGCAUUAGUGCUAAGGACUGCUAACAGGACUGCCGAGAGAAUGGUCUCCCUCCAAUAGACAUGAGUAAAAAUAGAAUCAAGGAAAUGCUGCUGGUUGAUCUUAAACUCCAUACCGGCUGCUUAGGACUAAAUGUGUGUGUUCCCCAAAUUCAUAUGUUGAACUCCUAAUCUCUGUGCUCAUGGUAUUAUGGGAGUUGGGAACUCUGGGAGGUCAUGAGGGUGGAGUCUCAUGAACAGGACUAGUGUCCUAUAAGAGAGGCUCCAGAAGGCUCCCCAGUUCCUUCCACCAUGUGAGAACACGGCAAGAAGUUUCCAUCUACAAAACAGGAAACAAGCCUUCUCCAGACAUUGAAUCUGCAGGCCUUGAUCUUGGACUUCCAGCCUCCAAAACUGUGAGUGAUGAUUUUCAGUUGUUUAUGUAAGCCUCCAAGUUGUGGUAUUUUGUUAUAGCAACCCAAAUUGACUAAAACACCUGGAUCUUAGCUUCUUUAGCCUGGAUCUGUUCAAUAUGUUUGGUAGUGUCCAAGUACUAAUAGAAACAAAUGUUAUAUUUUAAGAAGUGUGUAUAUCCAUAGGGAGAAAAUUGUUUCCACCUCCUUGCACUGGGCCCUCCAGAUGUUGAUCAUGCUCCCCAAAGCACAAAGAAGUGUGUCUACCACAAGGUUUUGUGGAUUUCCAUUGGCUCAGACUACCAGUGCCAACAUGACACCCCAACCGGGACCUCCCCCAGGCAAUUCUCCACACGCAUGAGCAACUCUUCACCACCCUGCAAUUGAGAGGAGGCCCUGAAGUCCUACCUUGUGCAUGCUCUGCUGUCCCUGUCACACAGGGAAGUGGUCAUGUAUUGAGGUAUCUGUGUCUAACUAGACAGAGGCCUGUGGUGACCAUCAUCAUGUUCCAUCAUAAGAGCCCAGAUGGUCAGCAGUCCCCGUGGUGUACCUGUGAUAAAAGGAAGGUGGAUCCUCAUCUCCAUCAGGUGUGGGCUGAUAAGUGGGCCAUUGGUCACCCCGAUGAAGACGCGUGUGUCAGUAACACCCAUGUCAGGACAAAACCUGAAUUUUCUGGAGCAAACAAAGAUUCCCUCAAAAUCAAUGACCCUGUUGCCCCAGGAUUAUUAUAGGAUAUCCCUGAGUCACCUUAGGAAGUCCCAUCUCUCCAGUGGAGCAACAUUAGGGUGUUUAGCGCAUGCAGCAUUGCUUUUGGACACCCCUGUUGGUUCUAGGUCCCUGGGAGGGAAGGUGGCCCUGGAACUGGAGCUAGCUCCCUCCUCCUGUUUCCCCAAGAAGCCUGAGAGUGACACACUAUAUUUUCAAGAGUUGAGCUCUCCAUCUUGUGGGUCCCUUGGCCUGGUGUUCAGCUUACCACAUUGGCCAUCCCAGAGACCCCUGUGGGUGCUGAGAGGUAGGCAGAGGUGUGCUUCGCUGCAGGGUGCCCGCGGCCAGGGUUGAGUGUGCAGACUCCUACUGUGUUUGCAGGGGAUACGUGGUGCAGCCUGCUCCCACUCUGCCUCUGCUUCAGGGACAGUUCCUGCCCCCAGCGGGGCUCCCAUCCUGCUUCUCUGUCCACCUUAGGAGCAAGCCUGCCCCUUUCACCUCGCUGCAGGUACUUCUGAGGCCACCGUCUGGAGGCCUCUCCCCGAUGGCACCGGGAGCCAAGCAACAUCCUGGUAGACUGAGGAUUUCCUAGAAUAUGGAGUCUGACAUAAAUGAGAGAUGAAUGACAGGGAGAAAUUUUCAGCGAAUGAAAAACCGUAUCCCUGGCACCACAAAAAAAAAAAAAAUACUUUCCGUGCUAUGUCAGUCAAACACAAACAUUACAGCUGAUUCACAUUUGAUAAACUGUUCACUUCCCCAUUUCUUUGAUAGGAAAGCUGUGGGGCGAGAUAAAGCCGGGCUGAGCUCCGGAGGACAAACAUCUUGGCAUCCAAUAAACUUCAAACUGUUUCUUUUUUUGUUUUCAAGACUGGCUGCUAUUUCCUCCAUGCCUCUUGUUUAUUAACACUCUGGCUGCUCUGGUGUCCAGCACCCUGUUUUCCACACCGCAACGAUGGACAAGCACCUCUGCCAAGCCGAGUCGGCCCGGGAGAUAACAGCCAGCGACAACAAUGGUCUUCCUCAGUCCCUCGGCCAAGAAAACUUUUGGCAAGGAGGUCUGAGAAUAACUUAUCAUCAGUGUCCUGGAAGGCUCUGAAGUUCUGGAAGCACCGAGUGGUGCUUUGCCAGACAGAGAUAACAGGCAGGGUGCCACCGAGAGCCAGACAUGCUCUGGAAGUCAGGGCCCCACCUGGCAGACAGAAAAGGAAGAAGAGGGAGCAGCCAAUUUUUUUUUUUUUUUUUUAAAGCACUGGGUUUCCUGGUCACCCAGUCCAUGCUGUGAAUAUAGCAUAUAAGUUAUCCAAAAGGGUUUUGUUUAUUUCUGGAUCCUGUAAAGAAUAUCGACUCCUUUGUUGUUGUUGUUGUUAAUGCAAGAAAGUCAUGUGGAAGAGACUGUGUGCAUUUCUUGGAAUGAGACACAGGAUUGUGUGAUCAGGUGAAGCUUUGAGGGUCAGACGAGUGAUCCUCUCAGUGGUGGAUGCACUCUUGAUUCUCCAAGGAUGGGGGUCAACAACUCAGAGAUGAAGCUGUCCACAGCCUGGUGAUGGGACUUGCUUCUUGCAAACUGCCAAAGAGCAUCUCCAACUAGUAUGGGCUGUUCCACCCGCUAGCUCGAGUUUCAGUGGAGAGACGACGAUGCUGAAGCUCAGAGCUGGAAGGUCCCCCUAAGGCCCAUGUGUGCUAGCCUUGUUCCCCAGAGUGGUCUUUGGGGUGUGGAGGGAAGUUUAAGAGGUGGGAGAUUUUAGGUCAGUGGGGUGUGGCCCUCCAAGGAGACUGUGGGAUCUGGUCUCUUCCUCUUUGUCUCUUUCACUUCCCAACAAUAAGGUGAAAGUUUUAUUAGUGUGUCCCCACCCACCCACCAUUGCCAUCCUGCACCCCGACCAGAGGCCUAAAAGCAAUGGAUUUGCCCAGUUAAAUUGACUGAAACCUCCAGGACUGGAGCCAACAUAGACCUUUUUUCUUAUAAGUGGAUCAUCUCGGUUGUCUGUUAUAGUGUCAGAACACUGAUCAUACUCACUGUUUUGCAGGCUUCUUCAACCUAGACACCUAGGUAAGCAUCAUCUUUGACAGUUUCUGUUGUAGACAUGUGAUAAAAAUGCUCCUUAUGGUCUCAUAGGUCUUUUUAGAAUAAUAACUAAAACGGUGACAAAGGAAUGAUUUUAGUCACAAGCUCCACACUGUACUCUAAAUCACUUAAACUCUGAUGUGCUUCAUGCAUCCUGCACAGCCAUGUCAGUGCUACUAACCACUGUUACUUGGAGAACAGUGGAAAGUAAGGAAACAAGCUGUGUUUCAUCAUGUUCUUCAAAGUCACAGAGUUUGUUCCUCAACAGUGACUCAAGGCAAGUGUCCCAGCCUGCUGAGUGACUGGAACUUUGAAACAUGAUUAGUAUGUACAUAAUGAAAGCACCCAUGUCGAUGAUAAGUAACUUAAUCACAGUGUGUAUAAAUACAGUAUGUUCUUUCCCCACAUCUGACACCUACUUAUUUCAGGCAGCUACUGUAAAAUAAUCAGCCCAUCAUCUCCACGAGUAUGUACCAGGCGUCUGCCAUGGUCUUGUGACAGGUCCUCUAAAGAAAGGCAGAACGUUCUUUCCUUCAGAUUUUAUAGCCCUCCUUUUACCUAGGAUAGAUUUGUCAUAUGCUGAUCACUUAAAUCCCCUGAAGAGAGGGACUUCAUCAGACGUGAGUCCGACCUUCAUCAAAGCCAAGUGCCCUCGAUUUUGUUCAUGUUUCAGCAAAUUUUUUUUUUUUUGCAAGUGAAAGUGGGGCUCUGCUGCACUGCUUAGGCCUGGGUGGGGACCACAGUGUUUGGAGGUAGCAUUUUUAUCACUUUGGUCUAAUCAAGAUCCAAACUCUUGAGCCAGUUUCUCACACUGAGCAGUUUACAAAUUUCAUGUAGGAACCUGAAAGAAACUUUAAGAAGGUAAGAAAGACAUAAAGUCGCGUACUUGUGAGGAGGGGAUUUUCAUCCACGGAGUCCUAGAAACACAAUCGUGGAUCUCUGGAUGUUGCCUCCUUUGGGUCGGCCAUCUGGAGGACAGGUGGAAAGCCAUGGAGUCCUCUGGAAGCCCGAGGGCUGCAGGUGGCUGAUGGCCAGGGGACCCGUGGUCUGUCCCCUGCUGUGUCAGGAGCAGGGGCAGCUCUCCUCCCACGCACCUGCUGCCUGCCUGGCUCCGUGUUGUUAGUCUGCCUCGCCACCAGCUUCUGCCUGAAGGGCUCUCUCUCUGGGUUCUUAGAACCUUAACAUUGGUCUCCCCUUCCCCCCUAUUUCUCUGCUCAUUAAACUAAAACCAAAUCAA
Molecule: non-coding RNA, 11680 nt
Organism: Ictidomys tridecemlineatus (thirteen-lined ground squirrel)
Lineage: Eukaryota; Metazoa; Chordata; Mammalia; Rodentia; Sciuridae
Source: RefSeq, a predicted model, not a curated record